Molecule: small RNA, 18 nt
Filed under: Arabidopsis thaliana (thale cress)
Lineage: Eukaryota; Viridiplantae; Streptophyta; Magnoliopsida; Brassicales; Brassicaceae
Description: ATSL304950
Source: RNAcentral
UUUUUUUACUUUUUUUUU